RNAcentral lists this long non-coding RNA (351 nucleotides) under Citrus sinensis (sweet orange). RNAcentral describes it as "long non-coding RNA (CSIN_LNC001610)". The record is from RNAcentral. Lineage: Eukaryota; Viridiplantae; Streptophyta; Magnoliopsida; Sapindales; Rutaceae.
AGAAGAUGUAUUCCCUCAUUGAUCAAUACAAAUUGAAUGGCCAGUUCCGAUGGAUCUCUUCUCAGAUGAAUCGGGUCAGGAACGGUGAAUUGUACCGGUACAUUUGUGAUACAAAGGGAGCUUUUGUGCAACCUGCACUGUAUGAGGCCUUUGGCUUGACUGUUGUUGAGGCCAUGACCUGUGGAUUGCCAACAUUUGCAACUUGCAAGGGUGGCCCCGCUGAGAUUAUCGUUAACGGGAAAUCUGGCUACCACAUUGAUCCUUACCAUGGUGAGCAGGCUGCUGAGAUCCUUGUUGACUUCUUUGAGAAGUGCAAGGCAGAUCCCUCAUACUGGGACAAGAUAUCACUGG